AUUAUAUACAGAAGACAAAGAAGAAGCUGCUGAACUGGAUGAUGAAGCUCAUGAUGAAUUAACGCUUUGUAAGCAUGUGAGUCAGCAUGGAGACCUGCUCAACUUCAUGUGGAGAAACGUCAAGAUCUUUGGAACAAGUCACUGCUUUGGACCAACUCCAAGGAUUCCUGAAGAUGCCCAUAAAAAAGGAAGAACUUGAUGAUGAAGAUCACCUGAAUGGCGGGACAGCAAGCUCUGUGGAACAUGUCACUCCUGUGGGCCACCA
This is a long non-coding RNA of Trichomycterus rosablanca, 265 nucleotides long. RefSeq lists it as uncharacterized. The transcript has 3 exons. The record is from RefSeq and is a predicted model, not a curated record. NCBI's taxonomy places the organism in Eukaryota, Metazoa, Chordata, Actinopteri, Siluriformes, Trichomycteridae.